UUUUUCUCCUUUGACAUAGUAUAGAGUCCCUCUUUGAUCUCUCUCUCCCUAUGCUUGGAUCGAGCACGGCUUCUCUCUCUUCCCCUCCAGCACACUCGCAUUUGACCAGUCCUUCCCUUGCUUCCCCUUCGGCAGACGACCAAAGCCUGGGAGACCCUUUUCUGGGCUUAUCACUGGCUCUUUCCGAUGUUCCCCCUUCCCCUUAGAUUUGAAGCAUGGUCAAAGUGUGAUGACCUAACGGCCACCUUGGGUAUGACUGUUUGAGGUGUUGUUGAUUAGAUCUUCGAUUGAGUAGCCAUCAAUCCCUCUUCCUCUUACAGGAUAUAUUGACUUGUUGCUUUCCUUCGGCGAUCAUUGGCUUUCUUCCAUCCCGACGGUGACAUGAUGAUAUUUUUUUUGAAAUUUAAAUUUAAAUUUUUUUAAAUUUUGAU
Molecule: long non-coding RNA, 431 nt
Filed under: Elaeis guineensis (African oil palm)
Lineage: Eukaryota; Viridiplantae; Streptophyta; Magnoliopsida; Arecales; Arecaceae
Description: long non-coding RNA (EGUI_LNC029365)
Source: RNAcentral